GAGGGUAUAGCUCAGUGGUAGAAUGUGUGCUUAGCAUGCACAAGGUCCUGGGUUCAAUCCCCAGUACCUCCA
RNAcentral lists this transfer RNA (72 nucleotides) under Camelus bactrianus (Bactrian camel). It matches the Rfam family "tRNA". Rfam says of the family: Transfer RNA (tRNA) molecules are approximately 80 nucleotides in length. Their secondary structure includes four short double-helical elements and three loops (D, anti-codon, and T loops). RNAcentral also lists the same sequence under 2 other names. The record is from Rfam by way of RNAcentral. Lineage: Eukaryota; Metazoa; Chordata; Mammalia; Artiodactyla; Camelidae.